This 407-nucleotide ribosomal RNA is filed under the name uncultured rumen bacterium. RNAcentral describes it as "bacterial SSU rRNA". It matches the Rfam family "Bacterial small subunit ribosomal RNA", at positions 354 to 776 of the family's 1533-position model. The record is from RNAcentral.
GUGGGGAAUAUUGCACAAUGGGCGCAAGCCUGAUGCAGCAACGCCGCGUGAGGGAAGACGGUUUUCGGAUUGUAAACCUCUGUCUUUGGUGACGAAGAAGUGACGGUAGCCAAGGAGGAAGCCACGGCUAACUACGUGCCAGCAGCCGCGGUAAUACGUAGGUGGCAAGCGUUAUCCGGAAUUACUGGGUGUAAAGGGAGCGCAGGCGGGUCAGCAAGUCAGCGGUGAAAUUUAUGGGCUCAACCCAUAACCUGCCGUUGAAACUGUUGAUCUUGAGUGGAGUAGAGGUAGGCGGAAUUCCGAGUGUAGCGGUGAAAUGCGUAGAUAUUCGGAGGAACACCAGUGGCGAAGGCGGCCUACUGGGCUCUAACUGACGCUGAGGCUCGAAAGUGUGGGGAGCAAACAGG